RNAcentral lists this ribosomal RNA (422 nucleotides) under uncultured prokaryote. Its description in RNAcentral is "bacterial SSU rRNA". It matches the Rfam family "Bacterial small subunit ribosomal RNA", at positions 355 to 774 of the family's 1533-position model. The record is from RNAcentral.
UGAGGAAUAUUGGUCAAUGGGCGAGAGCCUGAACCAGCCAAGUCGCGUGAAGGAUGAAGGUUCUAUGGAUUGUAAACUUCUUUUGUAAGGGAAUAAAAAGAGCUACGUGUAGUUUAUUGUAUGUACUUUACGAAUAAGGAUCGGCUAACUCCGUGCCAGCAGCCGCGGUAAUACGGAGGAUCCAAGCGUUAUCCGGAUUUAUUGGGUUUAAAGGGCGCGUAGGCGGAUCUUUAAGUCAGUGGUGAAAGUUUGCGGCUCAACCGUAAAAUUGCCAUUGAAACUGAAGAUCUUGAGUGCAAAUGAGGUAGGCGGAAUGUGUUGUGUAGCGGUGAAAUGCUUAGAUAUAACACAGAACCCCGAUUGCGAAGGCAGCUUACUGGGAUGCAACUGACGCUGAGGCGCGAAAGCGUGGGGAUCAAACA